UCCCAGAUUCCAGAGUCCUCUGGCCUAGCCCUCGGUUGGAGACGGUUUUAGGGCUAUUUUCGGCCUUCUGGCCCUCUGGACCCUUCGGUUGGAGAUGGCCUAAGCAGAUUCCAUAGGAUUUUCAAGAUGCCACCGUCAAUAAACCAUAUGUUUUAAUGCAUUAUUUAGCCUCGAAGUCGGUCUACCACACACUUAAGUGUACAAUACUGUGUAAUAAAUUAUCCUUUUUUUUUCAUGUAUAUAUUAUUUCUAACAUUUCAACUGUUUAACUCUCUGUAUUCCUGAUUUUUAAUGAAAGAUUUUUCUAUUACUAUAUUAUAUUGGGCAUCUGCUUCUUUGACUUGGGAAGGUAAGUGAUAAGUUGCAUCGUUUUUAGAGUGUCGCAAACUCACAGAUCAGGGACAACUUAUCAACAUCCCUAUGUGCAUAAUGCAUGCAUGUUUAAGGGAUAAGGUUACAGAGAUUAAAAUUUUUAAAUUAAAUUUGUAAAUUAAAUAAUGAUUAUUAAUGAUUGGAUUAUUAUGUAAAUGUCGAUUAACGUGCUUAUUAUAUAUUGGUGACAUAUAAUUUAAUUUGCAAAUUUGAUUUAAAUUAUUGAUCUUCCUAACAUUACCUUUGUUUAAAUUUUGGUAUUCCUAACAUUAUUUAGUAUUCCUUGAUCCUACUCAGUAAGUUCAAUACAAACAUAUGUUAAGAGAGGCUUAUAGACUAGCACAUAGGCUUGCUCGAUCGGUAUGGUUUGGCAAUGGAAUAAGACUUCCUUCGGAUUGACAAACUUCUCGAUUUUAUUGGUGGUCUUCUUAUUGAAGAUGGUCUUUUUACGUAGUUUUUGGUGCGGGUGCUCUUUUUGAUCUCUUAGUUCGGGUUAAAUUUCUCCUUUUACCGGUAUGCCCAAACAAAGCAUUAUAUCUUCUGGUUUGCAGGUAUGCUUCAUAAUGCUAAUUAAUGAAUAUCGUGCCAUAUUUAUAAAAAAUGCGAGUGGGUGGAAGCUUGAAUUACAUACUAAUGAUCAUAUUACUCAUUAAUUUGAUCAUUACAUAAUAUUGUGUUGUAUUAUAUACUAAGGUUCUAAAAGACAUUACUAGUCAAGCGGCGUAUUGGAGUUUAGCACCUAGGUGGCUAGGCGGGGGCCUAGGUAGACUAAACGGAUUUAAGUAAACUUAUUAUACACCAUAUCAAUAAGUGCUUGUUUAUACUUAAAAAAUAUAUAAUUGUAUUAGGAUACAUAGAUUGAAAAAUCAAAUGACAUAUAGAUUAGAAAAUAUUAAAACAUAAUGAAAACACGGGAACCAAAAUAUAAUGAGUAUUCAUCCAAGUAUUCAAUAAGUCUUUUACAGUUUAUUAAAAUAAAACAAAACACAAAAUGAAAGUUAUAUAUUUUUUGUCUAAGUUAGAGUUGCGAUUUAAGUGGGUGCCCAGGCGGGUCUAACCGCCCCUUCUUAAUUUUCAUACGCCUAAGGAUUAAUUGGGCGAUAAUCAGCAGCCUAGCACCUGAGCGGCGCUAGGCGGGGUUUAGAUGGAGCCAGGCGGGACCUAAAAGGCGU
RNAcentral lists this long non-coding RNA (1544 nucleotides) under Malus domestica (apple). RNAcentral describes it as "long non-coding RNA (MDOM_LNC010883)". The record is from RNAcentral. Lineage: Eukaryota; Viridiplantae; Streptophyta; Magnoliopsida; Rosales; Rosaceae.